AUUGAACGCUGGCGGCAUGCCUUACACAUGCAAGUCGAACGGCAGCGGGGACUUCGGUCCGCCGGCGAGUGGCGAACGGGUGAGUAAUGUAUCGGAACGUACCUUUCAGUGGGGGAUAACGUAGCGAAAGUUACGCUAAUACCGCAUAUUCUGUGAGCAGGAAAGCAGGGGAUCGCAAGACCUUGCGCUGAUGGAGCGGCCGAUAUCAGAUUAGCUAGUUGGUGGGGUAAAGGCCUACCAAGGCUACGAUCUGUAGCGGGUCCGUGAGGAUGAUCGGCCACAGUGGGACUGAGACGCGGGCCAGAUGCCCACGGGAGGCAGCAGUGGGGAAUUUUGGACAAUGGGGGCAACCCUGAUCCAGCCAUGCCGCGUGAGUGAAGAAGGCCGUCGGGUUGUAAAGCGCUUUCGGACGGGAAGAAAGCGCAUUGGCUAAUAUCCAGUGUGGAUGACGGUACCGUAAUAAGAAGCACCGGCUAACUACGUGCCAGCAGCCGCAGUAA
Molecule: ribosomal RNA, 500 nt
Filed under: uncultured bacterium
Lineage: Bacteria
Description: partial 16S ribosomal RNA
Rfam family: Bacterial small subunit ribosomal RNA
Source: RNAcentral